UUAGUUCCAGAAGUUCUUGUUCGUUUGACAGCGUGCUUACUUUCACAGAGCUUCUCAAAGAUAUUUUUGUUCGUAUAGUUUCGAAUCUCAUCUCUUUGCCAUGGAUUUGAACUGCAAAGUUUUGAAGUUUAUGAUGAUGAAAACUCCGGCUGAUUCCAUUCCUCCGUUGAAAAUCGCCGGCGAUCAAAACAACGUCGUUUCACCGGUUUUCGAUGGAAACAAACUGAAAAUUCAGGUUCCUGUUCCGAGGAAAAUCGUUGGCGGCGAGGACGAUGUGGUAGAUAAGAAGAAAGUGAAAAUUGAGGUUCCUAUUCCGAGGGAAUUGUUAUUUCCAUCCGCUGAGACGGCGUCGUGUACUGAUCAUGCGCAGUUAUUGGUUCAGAACUAUGGGAAUUUCAAAAAGAGUGGGAAGCCGGUGAGGUUUAUGUUCUAUAAGGAUGGAUCGUGGGUGAAUUUCGAGAAAAACGUGAUGGAUGUGAUGGUAUCAGGUUUCGUGAGUGGCAAGCCUAUGAUUGAUGUGGAAAUGGAAGGGUUAAAAUGUCUUUUUGAUUUUUAUCGCAUGUUAGAGAUUGACUUGGACACUGGGAAAGAGCGCUCUAUUUCUUGGAUUGAUGUUAAUGGUAAGUGCUUUUUCCCUAAAGUCUUCAUUGAUUCCAGUGAGAAUUCAGAUGAUAAAAAUCAGGAAAUUGAAGCUUCGAAUGUAAAUGAAAAAUUUUCCUCUGAGAAUCCUAAGAUUGAAAUUGAGAUAAGAAUCUCAGAUGACAACUCAGAUAAAGAAGUUAACAAUUCAGGAGAAGAGUUGAAGUUAGGAAAGAGAAAGAGGGGAAGUGAGGAGAAUGAAGUGGAGGAGAAGGGAGAACGGAGUUCGUCCAAUGCGAAAGAGCGGCGUGUUAUUGCUGCUACUGAAUUGCAUUCACCAAGGUGGCCAAAGGCAAGGUCAUUGAGGGAAGAGGAAAAAGGCUAUCAGAUGGUGAAGGGUUUACUGUUGUCGGGUUUGAGGACUGUGGACCCUGGUGUUACAGUCACUUCGAUUCAUCAGUGUGUUAGAACUGGCCCAUUGGAAAAGGCUCGUCUUGAGGUUUUCCAAACAAAUAUGGAGAUCUUAAAGAGAGCUAGAGGGGGGAACCUUAAUGUUGUAUAUGCUUGGUACGGGACAUCAGCCAAGAACGUGGAGAUCAUUCUGCGUCAUGGCUUUGGAAUGCCUAGCGUGGUACAUGGUUCUAAUGCUCAUGGCGUUGGUGUGUACUUGUCGCCCUUACGCCAACCUCAAAAUAGUGCAAUGAUGUCUGAGGUAGAUGAAUAUGGUGAAAAGCAUAUUGUGCUGUGUCGAGUUAUAUUGGGAAAGCUUGAGAAGGUUGAGUUAGGAUCUCAACAGCGGUAUCCUUCUAGUGUGGAUUUUGAUACUGGGGUUGAUGAUUUGACAAACCCGAAGUGGUAUGUGGUGUGGUCUGCAAAUAUGAACACCCACAUUCUUCCCGAAUGCAUAGUUAGCUACAAAUCUGGACGUCAUAUGUCAGGUCAAGCAAAUGGUGCUUCAUCCAUGAAGUGGGCUCCUCAUGCUUCAAAUGCAAUGGGUACAUUAAUAUCCAAGCUAAGUACUUUGCUUCCACCUCUGAAAGUGCAGGAGUUGCUAAGUUUGUAUGGCUCCUACCGGGAAGGCAAAUUAGGGAAAGAAGUUUUCAUGAGACAGUUACGAUCUGUUGUUGGAGAUGAGUUGUUGCGUUCGACUAUUCUGGAAAUUCGUGGCUGAGAUGAGUAUCUUGCCUCUCCGUGUGCAUUGGUGUUACUGGCGUUCCUUUAGGCCAACGGUCCUCUUGGACUUGGUGCUUCAUGUAAUGGUGCUCAUGGUACCAGCAAUUGUUUUUCUGUUUGGGCUAAGGUUUUUGUGGACCUAAGUUCUUCACGUACUAAGGUACUCCGGUAUAAGCACCUGACAGUCGAGUGUAUGUAUGGGGCGUUCUUUUGCAAACAAUAUCAGUUACAAAGUUGGCUCUCAGCCUGUGAAGGAGAUUUAUCCAGAUCUAUUCAACCUCACAAGCACCUGAUGCAACUAUUCACGAGACUUGGGGGCAGCAGGGUUGGAAUAUAAACUUCAGAAGAUUACUAAAUGACUGGGGAGACUAAUAGGAUUGCUAAGCUUUUCCAGGUACUAGAACAAUUUAUUCAAGGAACGACAGCUAAUGAAGAUAGAUUAGAUUGGAAGCAUAGAAGAUGUAAAUCAUUUACUAGACUUUGUUGGAUCCUUGUAAGAAUAUCAAGCCACUUUUGGGUUUUGCCUUUUUUGAAUUUUAAAUAUGGUUCCCAGCAGUGUCUUUGUGCUGCAGAUAGCAAUCAUAGAACCCUUGCAAAUCAAGGUGCUCUUUUUAUUAUUAUCUCGAGUCUGGGCAGUUCAUUUUUUUUGAAAUUACAUUUUGAUAGGAUGCUGUAAGCUUGGAUGCCGUUGUUUAGUCAUUAUCUACAAGGAAUGAUAUUUUGGAUGAA
This is an RNA transcript of Nicotiana attenuata, 2481 nucleotides long. It is a transcript of the gene named probable inactive poly [ADP-ribose] polymerase SRO3, with no coding region annotated. The transcript has 6 exons. The record is from RefSeq and is a predicted model, not a curated record. NCBI's taxonomy places the organism in Eukaryota, Viridiplantae, Streptophyta, Magnoliopsida, Solanales, Solanaceae.